Small nuclear RNA from Mastomys coucha (southern multimammate mouse), 103 nucleotides. NCBI's taxonomy places the organism in Eukaryota, Metazoa, Chordata, Mammalia, Rodentia, Muridae. The record is from RefSeq and is a predicted model, not a curated record.
GGCCUCCUGUCAGCAGAUCCUCCUCUAAAAUUGGAGCAAUACAGACAAGGUAAGCGAGGCCCCAGCACAGGGAUGACAUCAAUCAGUGACUCAUUCCAUUUCU